Long non-coding RNA from Erigeron canadensis, 1088 nucleotides. RefSeq lists it as uncharacterized. NCBI's taxonomy places the organism in Eukaryota, Viridiplantae, Streptophyta, Magnoliopsida, Asterales, Asteraceae. The transcript has 8 exons. The record is from RefSeq and is a predicted model, not a curated record.
AAGUCUUAAAUCUUAAUAUCAUUCUUGUUCCGUGAAAUACAUCAAUCAUUUAUUCCUCUUCUGAUAUUUUUACCCAAUUGCAUCUCUUCUCUAUAUGGAUUACAAGAUUUGUUCCUUGCAGCAGUUCAAACACUUCCUGCCAACGAACGUGUGCCUUCUGUGGCAGACGAAAGGAUGGGGAAUUAGGGAUUGCUUGGAGGUAUAGAUGCACUUCUCUGUUAGAAGUGAGAGUUGGGCAAUUACAUCUUCCUUCUCUAAGGAGGCUUGAUAUAUAAGCUGACAAACUCAUUGCAGAAAAUGAGAUGCAACAUAAAGCAAUUGACCACGAGAUUGAAAGAACUACAUAUCUCUGAGGCCUUACAGAGAAUCUUUGGAGAGGGAGAAAAUCAAAUGUUAGAUGGACUACAUGGAAUCCAUUAAGAAGCUCGAGGAGAAGUGGCUAAACAAUCAGCCAAAAAAUGGAACAAAUGGUUUCACUAAUGGCAGUCAUCGUAAACAGAUUCAAGUUAUAGACAGAAGUUGCUUUGAAAGAGUGGACUCUUCCCGAUCUUCGUAUGUACAAUAAUGAUGCAUCCAAGUGUUGCAAAUAACCAGAAGAGAAAGGUGCAAGAGCCGUUGUUUUGGUCCCAAUAACUGGACAAUACUUCCGUAAUGGGCAAUGCUACUUACUUGCACCAAAGAACUAUUACAAAUUUCCAACAGGCUGGGCCAAGCUUUUGACCUACCGAUCAAGAGUUGACUUUGAUCAUUCCCAAAAGCAGAAUUCAAAUUGCAAGAAGCAGUUCCCGUCCUACUAUUUUGUGCAUAUGGGGUACAAGGAGGCUGAUACAUGGUAGAAGGAUUUUGGUUUACAGGUGGCUAUGUCCAAGACCUGUUGGAGCUUUGGGUUCUUACAAAAUUCGCUGGUCAUAUGGCUGCAAAAAAUCAAUACAUUCUUUAGAUAGUGAUAUUUUUUCCUUACAUACGAUGAAAUCAUGUUAUUCAAAAUUUAAAGUAUCAGAAUAUUUAGGUGCUGAUUAUUUAGGGGUCUGUCUAUUGUUGCAUAAAUGUUUGGGAUGCUUUGGAAAUGACAAAUGUUAUGUUUAUCA